Molecule: long non-coding RNA, 2085 nt
Organism: Halichondria panicea
Lineage: Eukaryota; Metazoa; Porifera; Demospongiae; Suberitida; Halichondriidae
Exons: 13
Source: RefSeq, a predicted model, not a curated record
ACACGUACACAGUACAGUGCUAGACGCUCAAGUAUCCACUGCAGCAUGUAGACUAGAUCUACUGUUGAUUGAAGCAUAGAUAGUAGAAGAAGUAAGGGAGUAGUCUCUUGAAACAUGUCUGUCGAUUCCUCUACUAUAUAUCUAUAAUUGAAGCAACAAUUUAAGAAAGGUAUGGAACAGCUGGUCCAGGUCUCCUUGGUGUCGUCCUUUCACUCCCUACACAAAGUACAAGUGUUUAAACAUUCUCGGUAUGGCUCCGUUGGUAUCAGGUAAACCUGAAAAUGCAUUCGUUGGUUAUUAAAGUUCCUAUUUCAGUGGGUGGACCAACGGGCUGGAUAACAAGCAAGAAAAUAGUUUACUUACAUUGUACUUUGCAUGGAUUCUUUUUUAUAGCCAUAUCCGAGCUCAUUUAAAAGCUUGGUGUCUUCGUUGGCAUCAGGAAAACCUGCUCGUUGGUCCAUACAGGAGGCCGUUUCUGGAAACUAGGUGGACCAACGACAAGUAAAAAAAUAGUUCACGCACUUUGAAUGCAUUCUGUGUUCCCCAGUUUGGUGUGAUUAUGAGCUCAUUUCAAAGCUUGGUGUCUCCGUUGGCAUCAUUAUAAACUGGAAAUCCUGCUUGUUGGUCUAUGAGGUUUCCUGUUUCUGGAAACUGGAUGGACCAACGGCCUGGACAACAAUUUGGUGUGAUUAUGAGCUCAUUUCAAAGCUUGGUGUCUCCGUUGGCAUCAUUAUAAACUGGAAAUCCUGCUUGUUGGUCUAUGAGGUUUCCUGUUUCUGGAAACUGGAUAGACCAACGGCCUGGACGACAAUUUGGUGUGAUUAUGAGCUCAUUUCAAAGCUUGGUGUCUCCAUUGCAUCAUUAUAAACUGGAAAUCCUGCUUGUUGGUCUAUGAGGUUUCCUGUUUCUGGAAACUGGAUGGACCAACGGCCUGGACGACAAUUUGGUGUGAGCAAGCUUGCAUGGUGUCUCCGUUGGCAUCAUUAAACUGGAAAACCUGCUCGUUGGUCCAUAUAAGGUUUCAUGUUUCUGGAAACUGGGUGGACAAUUAAUGGCCUGAACGACAAGUAAGAAAAUAGUUCACGCACUUUCUUUUAAUGUGUUCCAGGUUGGUGUGAGCUUCAAAGCUUGCAUGGUGUCUCCGUUGGCAUCUUUAAACUAGAAAACCUGCUCGUUGGUCCAUAAGAUUUCCUGCUUCUGGAAACUAGGUGGACCAACGGCCUGGACGACAAUUGGUGUCAGAGCUUGGUGGCUCUCCGUUGGCAUCAUGCAGUUAUACUAAUAAACCUGGACGUUGGCCCAUAACCUUUUCUGUUUUGGAAACUGGGUGGACCAACGGCCUGGACGACACUGACAGAAUAUCAUAUCCAGCCGGAAAUUGGAUAGACAACAGCCUAUACGACAGCUGCAUCUACAAACUCUAUUAUACAUCAGACUGAAUGAAAGCCUCACUGCGACUCUGUAUGCUGAAAUCUACAAUGACAUUUAAGGAUUCUGUUUCCGUGUAGAGUAAGAGGCUGGCACUGGAUUCUUGUUGCUGUCAAUCUCCCAAAGAAAACUGUCUAUGUUCUUGACUCCCAGUCGCCAAUUCUCUCACCUUUUACUGAGCAGGCAACAUGCAUGCACAAGACAUUAAUCAAUUCUUAAGCAUGUGCAUUCGAUCACCUGCAAAGAUGGAUAUACAGUGUGUGAAGGUGGCCGCUCAGGAUGGAGUUGAAUGUGGCAUUCAUGUGAUACACAAUAAUUAUUAUGACAAUAGUCAAGUUUUCUGGACUACCUGCAUCAAAGCACCUGCAAAAGUCUGUAAACACUGCUGAAUUACGUGGAUUGAUCCUGUUAUCAUGCUACUCCACUCAACAAAGCCAAAAGACAUCUCACGGAGUCAGAAGGAGUAAAAGGGUUGCUAAUACAGAUCUGCAGACUGAUGAUGAUGCCAGUGUAUCUGUUAAGAAGACGGCAAAAUCGAAGCCUAAACUGCUAUUUUUACUUAACAUUAAUUGUAUAGCUCAGAAUGUUUAUUUUUUAUUGUAUAUAAUUAUGUGCAAUAAUAUAGUUACUAGUUUCCCUCAUAUAGUUUCUCAUCUG